UAAUACGUAGGAUCCGAGCGUUGUCCGGAUUUACUGGGUGUAAAGGGUGCGCAGGCGGACUGGUAAGUCAGUGGUGAAAUCUCGUCGCUUAACGACGAAACUGCCUUUGAUACUAUCAGUCUUGAAUCCGGUAGAGAUCUGUGGAAUUCCGAGUGUAGCAGUGAAAUGUGUAGAUAUUCGGAAGAACACCAGUGGCGAAGGCAGCAGAUUGGGCCGGUAUUGACGCUCAGGCACGAAAGCAUGGGGAUCAAACAGGAUUAGAGACCCUGGUAGUCCAUGCCCUAAACGAUGUUCACUUGAUGUCUGCCCUCAGGGUAGGUGUCGAAGCUAACGCGAUAAGUGAACCACCUGGGGAGUACGCUCGCAAGGGUG
This 372-nucleotide ribosomal RNA is filed under the name uncultured bacterium. RNAcentral's name for it is "bacterial SSU rRNA". It matches the Rfam family "Bacterial small subunit ribosomal RNA", at positions 521 to 896 of the family's 1533-position model. The record is from RNAcentral.